This 537-nucleotide long non-coding RNA is filed under the name Daphnia pulex (common water flea). RNAcentral describes it as "uncharacterized LOC124196292". The record is from RNAcentral. Lineage: Eukaryota; Metazoa; Arthropoda; Branchiopoda; Diplostraca; Daphniidae.
GUUACGCUAGUUUUUCUUCGAAAAUAAACAAAUACCAAUGAAUUCAUAGGAGGAAACGUAAAAGAGUCGUGCAGCCUACUGUCAACUAUUUUGUUCAAAAUCAUUGUAUUUUACUGAAUGUGCCAUCAAAAUGAUACAGGAUUCAACAUAAUUAUCUGCUGUGUGUAUUGGACUUGCUAGAUCACCAACCCCAGCAUGGAACAAUCUCUCAUUCCAUCAUCUAGAGAACCUUAUCAUCUGAAUAACUGAUCAGUGGUUUCAUGUAGACAAUUUCAAGUGCAUACUGAUAACUGUUUAAUUAUUCUUAAUUACAUCAUAGACGUCAAGCACAUUGAGGACACAAAUUAUAAACAAGACUUUAUGAAAAGUCCUGUCAUUUCAAGAAAGUCAUCAAGGUCCGUUGCUUGCUGACCCAUUGGAUGCUACCCUUGAAUCCUCCUUAUUGACUUCUUUACACAGGACCUCCUGAUUUGAGGUAUUACUUUCUGUCGCUACAAUCUUGCUUGAAUAUUAUUGCCAUCCAAAUAAAUGUUCAUU